RNAcentral lists this long non-coding RNA (7350 nucleotides) under Malus domestica (apple). RNAcentral describes it as "long non-coding RNA (MDOM_LNC015988)". The record is from RNAcentral. Lineage: Eukaryota; Viridiplantae; Streptophyta; Magnoliopsida; Rosales; Rosaceae.
GUGAAAAGACGAAAAUGCCCUUAAACGGGAUUAAGGUGCGUAAUUUUGGUAUUGGUUUUACCUAAAAUUCCUAAGUUAUUGUUAAUUAAACUUAAACUUGGACUAAUAAUUUUGUGUUUGGACUUUAGGUAGGGUCCUACACCCUAAAUCCCUCCCCAUUUCCCGUUUGUUGUCUCUCUCUCAUCUCCUCAGUCACUCUCUCUCUCUUCCUUAGCUCUUCCUCAGAAACUCUCACUCUCUCUUUUCUUCUCGAACGCACGGGCAACCACCAAAACCACCUAAAACCUAUACCAACGUCCAAGUUAAGACCACAUUUGGACUCCUGGAACUUCCACGAUCACGUAGACAUCAAUUUCAGGUAAGUUCUACUUCGGAAAACCCUAGUUUUCAAAGUACUCGUGAAAUGGUACUGUUCAUGAUCUUUUAAAUGGUUACGAUUUAGGCUAAAACAAGAUCACACAGCGAGCUUAGUGAGGUCCCAAGGAAGCUCGGAGUGCUUCGUUGGAAGUUUUUGGACGUAAGAACACGGAGAUCGACAAGUUCAAAGUUUGGCCGGAGCUUUCGAGGCGUUUUCCGGCGAAUCCUCGGCGAGUUAGGAGUCGAGGUAGGUAUCAAUCUCUUCGUCUCGUCAAGUACUACAACUUUCCUUUUUUUUUCACUCAAUUUCGUUGAGUAUUGAAGAAGUUAUACUCAUUUGAAAAAUACCCAGUUUCCGGCGACCUCCGAGGCUUUCGAGGCAGUUUCCGGCCAAACCACGGCGAACUAGGUGUUGUUCAAGGUACCAUUCUCUUUGUCUCUGCAAGGGCUACAACUUUCGUUUUUGAAUUACUUGAUUUCGUUGAGAAAUGACAAAGUUAUGGCAAUUUAAAAAACUGCCCGGAAAACGGCCGCCGGAAAAACCAGUCCGGCGACCCAAGGAAGAAGAAGGUGCUACAGUAAAAAUAAAAAAUAAAAUUAUUUUAAAAAUAUGUCGACGUCCGUGACGUCGAGUAGAUCACUGUGGUAUAUUCAUAUACCUAAAUUGAACACCGUAUGAGAAAGUUUUGAGGAUUGUUGGUUAGGUGUUCAAAUAACGUUUUAUAAUUUUCACAUUUAGGUGAAAAUGUGAAUUGAUGAUCCGACCGUUGGAUCGUCACCAAACUUUGAUACGUUGUAAUACGUAAUAUUUGAGGAUUAUUGGAACUUACGGAUUGGGAAUCCGAGUUACGGAUCUUCCGGAAUUGGAAUUGUAAGUCCAUAAUAUAAAAUGUUAACCGUCACUUAGUUUUGGAAAUUGACGGAGAUCCGACCGUUGGAUGGUAAUGAAAUUUUAGGAUGUUGUCCUAGAGGUAUAAUGUGGACCUCUGGAAGUUAUGGAUUUAAAAAAUCUGAGUGGCAGAUCUUCCGGAUCGAUCAACGUAGUGACGUAUUUUUAUAUAAGUUAUGUAUUCUAUCGAUAUGAAUUCUGAGCCUGGAUUUGAUUACUAUUCUAGGCGGCGAUCGUCAUGACGCCUUGAUGUGUGGUGCUAGGGAGUUGUUGGACGAACUCCAGGUGAGUGGGCAGUUUUGUUUUCCGUAUAUAUAUAUACUUGACGUUUCCCAGAAAUUGAAUUGAAAUGAAAAUAUGUUUAAAAUGAAAUGCAUAUGAGUUAUGUGGAAAAACGGGAAGUGAAAUACCAUGCAUAGAAUUGAUAUGAAAAGUAUAUAGAAAUGUGAGUUGAAAUGCCAUGCAUGAAUUAAUAUAUAUGAUGCAUAUGUAUGAAUUGGUGCGGUGGACGCACAUGUAAGAAUUGAUUUAUGAUGCAUAUGUAUGAAUUGGUGCGGUGGACGCACAUGUAAGAAUUGAUUUAUGAUGCAUAUGUAUGAAUUGGUGCGGUGGACGCACAGGUAAGAAUUGAUUUAUGAUGCAUAUGUAUGAAAUGGUGCGGUGGACGCACAGAUGAGUAUUUAAUUACUGUUAUGAUGAUGAUGAUAUAUAUUGAGCUCAAAUCCUGCACCAUGGUUUAGUGCUUAUAGUAUUCACCGCAUCGCACGCUCGCCUUGGAUCCAAGUAGAUGCUAGUCGUACAGUCCACGCGGAGUGGGUACGACAGACCAGUCGCGAGAGUGUUAGUGAGAUUCCGACUGGUGGGUGACCUUAGAUUAUGUGCACAGAUGAUUUAUGAGAAGCACUACUAGAGCGUAACUUGCGUGCAGAAGGCCGGACGGGUCACAGAGGUGACUCCGGUAGAGUGAUAAUGAUAGAUUUUUGAGCUCUAGGUUCAACCGUACAGGGCUAUUAGAGGGCCUACGGUUGAUUACUUUCUUGCACCUGAUAUGAUUAUGUUGAUGCAUUCAUACCUUAUUACUGUUGAGAUGAUGUGGCAUGGCAUAAUUAAUAUGAGAAAUGUUGAGAUGAUGUGGCAUGGCAUAAUUGUUAUGAAAAUGUUGAGUUAACGACUUGAAGUCUUGAGAAUAUAUAUGUAUAUUUUAUUUUUACAUUUCUGGGAAAAGUAUACAGGUUUUACGGAGAGGGGUUACAACGUUUUGAGAAAUGUUUGGAUUUGGAAAAAGAAUUGUUUUACUGACCCACUCAAUUUUGGUUUUGCGCCCCUCCAGGUUCAGGAAUCACAAAGGUGUGGUGACUACGAGGAAUUCGACGGUGUUCUGACAGAAUGGACCAAAUUAGGACGCACCUUCGGGUGUAUCAACUUAUAAAUUGUAUCUUAAAGCUUUCGUACUGUGCAAAUGGUUACGUCACUCUCACGUGACGGCCAGCAUGCCCUCCUUCGGGACGGGGUGUGUCAGUUGGUAUCAGAGCAUGGUUGCAAUCUUGGACAUUUUGAGAAGUUCUAGUGAAUUCUGUCAGAACUACACCGCCUCGUAGCAAACCACGUAGUUAGAGGAACUUAGUCUCCCCGAUUUAGCGGGUUGGGGGAAACUAUUAUUAUGGUGAUUCGGUAUAUUAUCAAAAUGGACAUUUUAAGAUGGGUAAUGAGUUGAACUUGAAUCACCUUAUGAAAUGAUGAACCUGAGGGAACGAAGUGACGGUUUAACCGUUUGGAAAAGAUGUUUCGGAAUAUGCAAGUUAAAGGAAAUUUCCUUCUGACAGGUGGGUCGAGACGACUACCUGAUUUUGGUUAUGAAUUUGUAUCCUGGUGGAAACAGGAGUAUGAAUUGUUGUCACCAGAGGAAUCAGUCGAUUGAGAAUUGUUUAAGGACUUGUUUAAAGGAAAAGUUUAUCCCUCCGGCAUUUAUCGAUGGUAGUAAACAAGAGUUUACAAAUAUGAGACAAGGAAGGUGAUGAUCGAGGGAUAUUAUAGAAAGUUUUCAGACUUGCCUCGUUGCAUCCAGAUAUUGUUGUUAAUUUGGUGGAGGUGUUAUGUUGUUUUAGCUGGGUGGCAAAAAGGGAAGUGGUAUUUUGGGUGACCACUAUCCAUUGUACUUCUUACCAGGAGUAUACAAGAUGUUGUUGAGCCUUGAGGACUCUGAGAACAUGAGCAACGAGAAUAAAGAAGAAUAAGAAAAGAAUAGGAAUUAAAAGAAGACGAUAAAGUUAAUGAUUCGUCAUAUCAAGGAUAUAGAAAGAUUCAGAGCUUCGAAAGAAGUGAAGCUAGAGUUAAUUUUUCCAGCUGAGGUUUUAAUGUCGCUGGUCAGAAUAAAAGUGAUGGAUAUACUGGUAAUCCCCGAUAUUUGAGACAAGGUGUCUCGAGUAAAGGAAAUGUACCUUGUGCAGCAGGUACAAAAUUAACACUUUGGGAAGUGUGAAAUUAAUGAAUGUGUUUAUGUGAACAGAGGGGACACAGAAUUGUGAAUCGUCCCUAGAAUCAGUUGUACACAACAGUUUUCUAUGACAUCAUAGUGUUGAUUCAGCAGAGUUAUGGAUUUAGUAGUUUGGUCGGAUUGACCGUGAGUACAGAGAGAUUUGAUGAGUUAUAUGUUCAGCCGUACAGACCAUGAGAAGUGGAUUCGAUUGACACAUGAGAAAUUGGUGAGUUAUAGGCUCGGCCGUACCGACCACGCGGAGUGGAUCCGGCCGACGUAUUAUUGAGAUAAGAGUUGAAUCAACCGUAUUGGUCAUUCUAGUUGACUUCGGCUGAUAUAUUUCUUAUUAUGUAUGUUAUUACCUAGAGAGUAGUAAAUAAAUGUAGUUGAGACGAGUGUAUGUAUUUUGCAUUGAGUAACAAAAUAGUAAUGUUAUAUCUUUGAGAGUGGUUGCCUACUUAUCGAGACAACGAUGAUUUAUCAGUAUUGCGGGCUGCAGACCGUAAUAUUAAUAACUCAUUCGUGGAUUCGUUAAGCAAGCAACCCGGUAGAUUAUUUUAUGUUAGUAUUGUACUUAUUUAGAAUGCUUAAUAAUAAUAGAAUAUAUAUUGUAUCAGUUAAUUCUGUUCCAUUAGAUUGGUUGGUUAUAAUUGUGACAAGACGGAAUGUUACGGGAAACCAGUACUUUCCAUCGAUCUGGAUGAACAGAGAUUACUUUUGUAAGUAUGCAAAAUGGAUUGAGUUAGGCUGUUAUUUAUGCUAUGAGAGCAAGGAGAUUGUUUUCGAAAGGCUGUCAAAAAUACUUAGCUCAUGUGGUGCUAAAUGAUGUUGUUUGGAGUAGUGUGAAUAAUGUCGAAAGAGUUAGACUUUUCUUGAUGUCUUCCUUGAAAGUAUACCUAGAUUGCCUUCAGGCAGAGAUAUGAGGUUCAUUAUUGAUUUGUUGCCAGGUAUAAAUUUAUAUUGGAGAUUGGUUCAGGAUGAGUUAAGGGAAUUGGAAAUUCAGUUGAGAGAAUUGGUUGAUAAAAGUUUUAUUCAACCUAGUACAACACUUUUGAGGAGCCCAGUUUGUUGGGUGAGGAAGAAAAAUGGAUCUUGAGACUGUUCAUUGAUUAUAGACAAUGGAGUCGGGUAACGAUUGAGAACCGUUAUCCAUGGUGAUGUACUGAUGUUUAUUUAACCAGCUCAUAAGUAAUUGCGAAGAUUCAAAGAUUGAAUUGAGAUCUGGUUACUACCAAUUAAAUAUUAUAAGUGACAUUGAUCAUAAGAUGGUUUUCUGGACUCGUUAUAGUCUUUAUGAAGUUUGGUGAUGCUAUAUGGAUACUCAUGCUGUUUUAUGAGUUAUUGGAUGAAGUAUUCCAAUAAUGCCUUGAUAAAUAGAUAUCAUUUUCAUUGAAGAUAUUCUGGUAUACUCUAAGCCUAGAGCAGAGCAUGUAAACGUAUUAAGUCGGUGAAGCAAAGAUUAAGAGAACGUUGGUUGUAUGCUAAGUUUAGCAAAUGCGAAUGUUGGAUGAAUCAAGUGGCAUUCUGAGAUUGGUUAUAUCUGCUUAAGGUAUUCAAAUGAAUUCUUAAAAGGCAGCAGAAUUGAGAAAUUGGAACAACCACAAGCCAUAAUUGAGAUUCGGAAAUUCUUAACUUAUCAGGCUAUUUUGGAUGGUUGUGAAAGAAUUUUUAGUCAUUGUUUUGUCAUUGAUGAGACUGUUGAGAAAGGAGGUUAUGUAUGAGUGGGAAGGAAAUUGUGAGCAAAGGAUUCAACAACUGAAGUAUUUCCUCACUCAUGCACGUAUUUUAGUAAUCCCAGAGAAUAAUGGUAAUCAUAAAUUUUUAGUGAUGUUUCUUGAAUGGUAUUGGAUGCAUGUUGAUGCAAAUGUUAGGGUGAUUGCAUACGUUUCACGAUAAAAGGAAUCUCAUAAGAUGAAUUACCCUACUGGUGAUUUGGAAGUCACGAUUACCAUUCUUGCUGUGAAGUUAUGGAGACAUUAUAUUUUAGUGGGAAUGCAAGAUUUUUUUUUUACGAAUCCAAAAAGUCUUCAAUAUCCAUUACUUGGAAGGAAUUUGAUAUGAGGCAGCGAAAGUGAAUUGUAUUGCUUAAUGAACAUGAUUGUACGAUCAGGGUGAUCGUAAAGUUUGUUCUAGCUGAAGCACUUGGUGAGAAGACUACAGUAAGAUUAAUAUCUGGCGCCAAGAGUAUCAUUUUGUGGAUUGAAAACCAACGGAAGAAAAAUUAAGAAUGGAAGAUCGAGAAGAAGUUAUACUUGUUAAGUAACAAGUUAGUACAUUUACCCCAAUGUUGAGUAACAACCUUUCCCAGACAGUGCAACACUACUUAUUUGUUUUAUGGAAAAGAGAAUUGGAUUACGGAACUGCUAAGUUUCUUAAGUAUGUUGGUUGUGCAGUUUCCGAAGUAACGCCAUAAGGACCAUGAAAUGUGUCACGUGAGUCGGUUUUUGAUGACUUGUGAAUGGAAUGUUUCUGGGUAGAGAAAGAUUCGAUCGAGAAAGAGUUUUAGUAGACCCUGAGACUAUGGAUGAGUCUCCUCAAAGUAUUCAGGUGAUUAAGUUAACCUGAAGUAACCAGGAAUGGCAAAAGAGAUCAACAGAUGGAUAUGCCACUAAUCGAGUGUGUAAGGUAAAUGGUUUGAUAUUUUUGGAAAAUUCACCACGAACAGAAAUGAAGAGAAUUGGAAAAGAGACAAGAUAAGAUUUAAACACAUCAGACCGUUUUGAUCAUUAAAAGAAUCAAUGAAGUUGCAUAUAAGUUUGUGAUGCCUUCAAAAUUGGCUAAGGUGCAUAAUGCAUUAUAUUUCGAUGCGUUGUCACUAGGUGGCAGAUUCGUCACAUGGGAUUCUGGUGCAACUAUUUAGAAUUCAAUUGGAUUCGACUUGAUAAGGAACCAAGGACUACUUUGGAUUGGGAAAAGAAGGUCCUGAGAAUUAAGACAGAGUAAGUGGUAAAAGCUUUGUGAAGGAAAUCAUUCAGUAGAAAAUUAUGUGGGAGAAAGAGAAACGGAUGAGAGAGAUUUACCCGAAGCUAUUGUUGGAGUAUGGUUGAUUUAGUUGAUUGCUGGAAUUUCGGGGACGAAAUUCUAUAACGAGGGAAGAUUGUCACAGCCCGUCCUGGAAUUUUAAUUCCGAGGACGUGAAAAGACGAAAAUGCCCUUAAACGGGAUUAAGGUGCGUAAUUUUGGUAUUGGUUUUACCUAAAAUUCCUAAGUUAUUGUUAAUUAAACUUAAACUUGGACUAAUAAUUUUGUGUUUGGACUUUAGGUAGGGUCCUACACCCUAAAUCCCUCCCCAUUUCCCGUUUGUUGUCUCUCUCUCAUCUCCUCAGUCACUCUCUCUCUCUUCCUUAGCUCUUCCUCAGAAACUCUCACUCUCUCUUUUCUUCUCGAACGCACGGGCAACCACCAAAACCACCUAAAACCUAUACCAACGUCCAAGUUAAGACCACAUUUGGACUCCUGGAACUUCCACGAUCACGUAGACAUCAAUUUCAGGUAAGUUCUACUUCGGAAAACCCUAGUUUUCAAAGUACUCGUGAAAUGGUACUGUUCAUGAUCUUUUAAAUGGUUACGAUUUAGGCUAAAACAAGAUCACAGCGAGCUUAGUGAGGUCCCAAGGAAGCUCGGAGUG